UACGGAGGGAGCAAGCGUUACUCGGAAUUACUGGGCGUAAAGCGUGCGUAGACGGUUGCGUAAGUCAGAUGUGAAAUCCCCGGGCUCAACCUGGGAACUGCAUUUGUGACUGCAUCGCUGGAGUGCGGCAGAGGGGGAUGGAAUUCCGCGUGUAGCAGUGAAAUGCGUAGAUAUGCGGAGGAACACCGAUGGCGAAGGCAAUCCCCUGGGCCUGCACUGACGCUCAUGCACGAAAGCGUGGGAGCAAACAGG
RNAcentral lists this ribosomal RNA (252 nucleotides) under uncultured bacterium. Its description in RNAcentral is "partial 16S ribosomal RNA". It matches the Rfam family "Bacterial small subunit ribosomal RNA", at positions 524 to 776 of the family's 1533-position model. The record is from RNAcentral.